UUGACACGUUCCCCUAACAGCCUAGGAGCGUAAUAAAGACAGAGCAUCUUGUCUUGUGUGUGCAGACCAGCUAGCGGAGCCCUCAGACACAGGCAGACAUCCUGGUGGAGGAGGAAGACGACGGGAGAGCGAUGGAGGUGAUAGAGGUGAAGCACCACCCAGAGGUUCUCCUUCCCGAGGACCAGCCUAGCGACCAGCAGAAGAAACCUCGGAGGAAAGACACGCCGGUCCUCAGCACUCCGCCGCUCAUACCAGGUGUGAGGUUGAUGAAGGGAGAGAAGAGGAUGAUUCAUUUGGAAAUGGAAGAGAAAGAUGGAAAGAAGUAGAAGCGUUUUGAGUUGGAGGGAUUAUAGUCCUGUGUGUCGUUGACAAUGUUGUUUGUAAGUUGUCUUUAGAUAUUCUUCUGUUCAUGUGUAUUAAAUAUUGCUCGGUGAAUACAAAAUCUGAGUUUUUUGGUAUAUUUCUUUUAUUAGGCUUAAAUAAUAAUAAUAAUACAUGAGGUAAAAACACAUUUUAUGUUAUGUUUACAUAUUAUGUAGGCAACUGCUGUUUGGAUGUACUGCAGACAGAGAUAUGCUAACUAAUUGGCCUAAUACCAGACUGUACAUGCUCUACACACAAUAAAAACAUACACAUUUCUGCAUGAAAAUAAAUGACCCCAUACAUUUUUGAAGUUACAG
Osmerus eperlanus (European smelt) is the source of this 680-nucleotide long non-coding RNA. RefSeq lists it as uncharacterized. The record is from RefSeq and is a predicted model, not a curated record. The transcript is spliced from 2 exons. NCBI's taxonomy places the organism in Eukaryota, Metazoa, Chordata, Actinopteri, Osmeriformes, Osmeridae.